CAUGGGGAGCUUACGGAACGACAUAAAGAGGUCACUGGCGUCACUAAAGGUGCUCCGACCUUGAAGAACAUAGUUUCUUUUUCAUUUUAAGGUUUUCGGUGAACGUUUUGUCUGGUUUUGUCAACAAGAAAUGUCAUAUUAUUUACGGAAUCAUACGGGAUGUUGGGUUAUGGGGUUAAAAACAAACGUAAAAUUUAUUUUAACAAAGUAAUAGAUACUUACGACACAGUCUUACGAUACAUGUAAAAAAUACUAGAAAAUUCCAGGCUAAAGAGGUCAACAAACUGCAGGUUAAACGAAAUAGUUUAAUUUUCGGUGUGUGCGUGUUUGAGCGGUCCAAGAUUUAUUUUUAAAUUUUAGUGUGUAAAAAAUUCUAACUCUAAUAAAAACUGAGACGAGGUAAUCAAGAGGAAAGUCUUUGCAGGGGUGGUGGAAUGGUAUUUUUGUAUGGUUCGUUUUUUAGCCGCAAACCAGUUAACGAAUACAGUGCAUAAAUUGGGUGGCAUCAUUAAAUCGCCAAAAAUCACAUCUUCAUUGAAAACUUUAAAAUGUCACACAAUUAAAACAGGAUGUACCACUUCGUAAGAAUGUGCAAAGUUCACACAAACUUCGCAGAAGUGGUGGUGUAAGAAUGUGAGUUUCCGGUAACUCACAUCACUUAAUGAUUGUUGAAGAGGCCGGAAUACAGGGAAGAUGUGUUGUGGAAGUUUGUUUAAAAGAACACCUUAGCAAAUUUUUCAUUUCAAAUAAAAUAGUG
Molecule: long non-coding RNA, 757 nt
Organism: Zophobas morio
Lineage: Eukaryota; Metazoa; Arthropoda; Insecta; Coleoptera; Tenebrionidae
Exons: 3
Source: RefSeq, a predicted model, not a curated record